GAACUGAACGACCGGGCUUCACAACAAAAACAUGGCCACAUGAGUUGGAUUAUUCCGCAGCCCAACAUCAAUUUCAAUCGGUGAUAUUGUUUCUCAUGCAGUCGAAUAUCUGAGAGCUCAUUGCAACAAUGGAUUCCAAAAAUCCAAUCCUGAGAAACGCUUUACAGCGAUUAUGUCCCUCAUGUAAUAUUAUCGUGAACAUUAAUCAACAUGUCUGCAAGUGUGGCUAUAGGCUUUUUGAUGCCAAACGUAAAGCUCAGCCGGAAAGCCAGGCUCAGGCAAAUAUCAAGAGAUCGGAAAAAAAAACAUAUA
Procambarus clarkii (red swamp crayfish) is the source of this 312-nucleotide long non-coding RNA. RefSeq lists it as uncharacterized. Lineage: Eukaryota; Metazoa; Arthropoda; Malacostraca; Decapoda; Cambaridae. The record is from RefSeq and is a predicted model, not a curated record.